RNAcentral lists this transfer RNA (84 nucleotides) under Lignipirellula cremea. RNAcentral describes it as "Planctomycetes bacterium Pla85_3_4 tRNA-Sec". The record is from RNAcentral. Lineage: Bacteria; Pseudomonadati; Planctomycetota; Planctomycetia; Pirellulales; Pirellulaceae.
ACCGGCGGCGGCGUGGGAGCGACGGGCGGUUCAAACGCCCAAUGCUGUUUGUAGACGGCCCCUUGUUCGAUCCAGGCUUUGAUG